RNAcentral lists this transfer RNA (69 nucleotides) under Ictidomys tridecemlineatus (thirteen-lined ground squirrel). Its description in RNAcentral is "Spermophilus tridecemlineatus (thirteen-lined ground squirrel) tRNA". It matches the Rfam family "tRNA". From Rfam's summary of the family: Transfer RNA (tRNA) molecules are approximately 80 nucleotides in length. Lineage: Eukaryota; Metazoa; Chordata; Mammalia; Rodentia; Sciuridae. The record is from Rfam by way of RNAcentral.
GGGGUUGUGGCUCAGUGGUAGAGCGCUUACUUUGCAUGUGUGAGGCACUGGGUUCGAAUCUCAGCACCG